Molecule: ribosomal RNA, 362 nt
Filed under: uncultured Cellulomonas sp.
Lineage: Bacteria; Bacillati; Actinomycetota; Actinomycetes; Micrococcales; Cellulomonadaceae
Description: bacterial SSU rRNA
Rfam family: Bacterial small subunit ribosomal RNA
Source: RNAcentral
GUGGCCGGUGUACAGGUGGUGCAUGGGUUGUCGUCAGCUCGUGUCGUGAGAUGUUGGGUUAAGUCCCGCAACGAGCGCAACCCUCGUCCUAUGUUGCCAGCGGGUCAUGCCGGGGACUCAUGGGAGACUGCCGGGGUCAACUCGGAGGAAGGUGGGGAUGACGUCAAAUCAUCAUGCCCCUUAUGUCUUGGGCUUCACGCAUGCUACAAUGGCCGGUACAAAGGGCUGCGAUACCGCGAGGUGGAGCGAAUCCCAGAAAGCCGGUCUCAGUUCGGAUUGGGGUCUGCAACUCGACCCCAUGAAGUCGGAGUCGCUAGUAAUCGCAGAUCAGCAACGCUGCGGUGAAUACGUUCCCGGGCCUU